This 819-nucleotide ribosomal RNA is filed under the name uncultured Actinomycetes bacterium. Its description in RNAcentral is "bacterial SSU rRNA". It matches the Rfam family "Bacterial small subunit ribosomal RNA", at positions 71 to 867 of the family's 1533-position model. Lineage: Bacteria; Bacillati; Actinomycetota; Actinomycetes. The record is from RNAcentral.
AAAGCCCUUUCGGGGGUAAGUAGAGUGGCGUCCGGGUGAGUAACACGUGGGUUAUCUGCCUUCGGGUGGGGAAUAACCCAGGGAAACUUGGGCUAAUACCGCAUAAUGCAGCGGCACCUAAUGGUGAUUAGUUGUUAAAGCGGGGGAUCGCAAGACCUCGCGCCUGAAGAGGAGCCUGCGGCAGAUUAGCUAGUUGGUGAGGUAAUGGCUCACCAAGGCUGCGAUCUGUAGCUGGUCUGAGAGGACGGCCAGCCACACUGGCACUGACACACGGGCCAGACUCCUACGGGAGGCAGCAGUGGGGAAUUUUGGGCAAUGGGCGAAAGCCUGACCCAGCAACGCCGCGUGAGGGAGGAAAUCCUUCGGGAUGUAAACCUCACAAGCAAGGGAAGAGAGCUAUGGGCUGAAUAAUCCCGUAGUGCGACGGUACCUUGCGUAAGCCACGGCUAACUACGUGCCAGCAGCCGCGGUAAUACGUAGGUGGCAAGCGUUGUUCGGAAUUAUUGGGCGUAAAGGGCGCGUAGGCGGUUUGUUAAGUCGGCUGUGAAAGCCCGGGGCUCAACCCCGGAGGGUCAGCCGAUACUGGCAGACUAGAGUACGGAAGAGGUAGCUGGAAUUCCCGGUGUAGCGGUGAAAUGCGUAGAUAUCGGGAGGAACACCUGAGGCGAAGGCGGGCUACUGGGCCGAUACUGACGCUGAUGUGCGAAAGCCAGGGGAGCGAACGGGAUUAGAUACCCCGGUAGUCCUGGCCCUAAACGAUGGACACUUGGUGUGUCGGGUAUUCCAGUCCCGAUGUGCCGGAGCUAACGCGUUAAGUGU